UUUCCCCAACCCCUGAGGGGUUAAAAAUGAACAGCUAUUCUAUACUUGUUUUUAAAAGAAAGGUUAAAAAAUUGUACUGAAAUGCAAAAGCAUUCGUUAAAUAAUGAAAAAUGUAAGAGAAGAAAAAGGUAAAAAAAAAAUGUAUACUUGUAUGCAUUAUGUAGCAACAUAUAGCGGUCACCCAUCCAAGUACUAACCACGCUCGAUGUUGCUUAACUUGUUUGAUAAAGAGAUACAUUUAGUAUACUAUUGUGUGAUUGCACAAUGUUAGAUCGAAGACGCCGACGGAUUUGCAUCAAAUUUGUUUAAUUAUCUAAAGUAAUGGAGGAAGAUAAUGAAUCAGUUAUCGUGCAAGUGUUGGAUCGCAGGGUAAAUGUUGGAACAACAUUUCCCCUAUCACCAACGAUGUCCUGUAAACCAUAGCGCGACCAAAACAAACUUUGUGACACAAUAGGCGAUGAAAUGGUAAGGACAGCAUGAAUGCUCACAUCAGCUGCGUACACAUUAAAAGCAUCUAUUUCUAUUGGACUUGAAUGAUCUCUACCACCAAAUUUGAAUGCAAUGAUACAUAUAUUAAAAUUUUCAAUUCUGUGCAUCUUUUGAAGACUUUUGUCGAGGGUGUUCAAAAUAAAUUCUCGGUCAUCUGGUAAAACAUGCAAUUUUCUUAUAUCGGAAAUUACGUUUUUCUUCAUUGUACUUCUGGACAAACUUUUUUCAUCCAAAUUCAUUCUAGUAUUUGAAAGUUGCUUUCUGAAAUCUUCAUAAUAAGCAUACUGCAACUUCUGAAAUUCACGUCUGUUGUACUUAGGAUAAUGCAAAUUUCGUUCUCUUGGUAAGAGAGUAAAGUGAAAAUCAAAGC
Molecule: long non-coding RNA, 859 nt
Organism: Ostrea edulis (European flat oyster)
Lineage: Eukaryota; Metazoa; Mollusca; Bivalvia; Ostreida; Ostreidae
Exons: 3
Source: RefSeq, a predicted model, not a curated record